CCACAGAAGGUAAUAGUCCUGUAUGUUAAACGAGAAGACUUUAGAUAUGAUCCAGAGUACCACGGGACACGUGAAACCCUGUGGGAAGCAGGAGGGACCACCCUCCAAGGCUAAAUACUACCUAGUGACCGAUAGCGUAUAGUACCGUGAGGGAAAGGUGAAAAGAACCCCGGGAGGGGAGUGAAAUAGAACCUGAAACCCUGCACUUACAAGCUGUGGAAGCACAUUUCUUGUGUGACCGCGUACUUUUUGUAGAACGGGCCAACGAGUUACGUUAAGUAGCAAGGUUAAGCACUUAAGGUGCGGAGCCGUAGCGAAAGCGAGUUUUAACUGAGCGUUCAGUUACUUGACGUAGACCCGAAACCGGGCGACCUACCCAUGAGCAGGAUGAAGCGAAAGUAAAAUUUCGUGGAGGUCCGAACCCACGAGCGUUGAAAAGCUCGGGGAUGACUUGUGGGUAGCGGUGAAAUUCCAAUCGAGCCCGGAGAUAGCUGGUUCUCCCCGAAAUAGCUUUAGGGCUAGCCUCAAGGUGAGAGAUACGGAGGUAGAGCACUGAAUGUCCUAGGGGGUAUUGCACCUACCGAAGACUAUCAAACUCCGAAUGCCGUCAUCUUAUACUUGGGAGUCAGACUGUGGGUGAUAAGAUUCAUAGUCGAAAGGGCAACAGCCCAGAUCGUCAGCUAAGGUCCCUAAAUGUAAGUUAAGUGGUAAAGGAUGUGGGAUUGCACAGACAACCAGGAUGUUGGCUUAGAAGCAGCCACUCAUUCAAAGAGUGCGUAAUAGCUCACUGGUCGAGUGAUCCUGCGCCGAAGAUUUCCGGGGCUAAAACUUACUACCGAAGCUACGGCAUCAGUAAUGAUGGGUAGGGGAGCUUCCCAUACGGGUUGAAGCAUGACCGUAAGGACAUGUGGACAGUAUGGGAGUGAGAAUGUUGGCAUGAGUAGCGAGAUGUGGGUGAGAAUCCCACAGGCCGUAAACCCAAGGUUUCCAGGGGAAGGUUCGUCCGCCCUGGGUUAGUCGGGACCUAAGCUGAGGCCGAAAGGCGUAGGUGAUGGACAACAGGUUGAUAUUCCUGUACUACCGAUAACCGUUUGAGAGAAGGGAUGACACAGUAGGAUAAGCUAAGCACACUGUUGGUUAUGUGUGCCCAAGCAUUGAGGCAGUCAAAGUAGGCAAAUCCGCUUUGAUAAUGCUGGGAUGUGAUGGGGAGCGAAAUUUAGUAGCGAAGUAGCUGAUUUCACACUGUCAAGAAAAGUCUCUAUCGAGGUUAAAGGUACCCGUACCGCAAACCGACACAGGUGGGUGAGGAGAGUAUCCUAAGGCCAGCGAGAGAACUGUUGUUAAGGAACUCGGCAAAAUGACCCCGUAACUUAGGGAUAAGGGGUGCCACCAUCAGGUGGCCGCAGAGAAUAGGCCCAAGCGACUGUUUACCACAAACAUAGGUUUCUGCUAAGUCGCAAGACGAUGUAUAGGAGCUGACGCCUGCCCGGUGCUGGAAGGUUAAGGGGAUCUGUUAGAGCAAUCGAAGCAGGGAACUUAAGCCCCAGUAAACGGCGGCCGUAACUAUAACGGUCCUAAGGUAGCGAAAUUCCUUGUCGGGUAAGUUCCGACCCGCACGAAAGGCGUAACGAUUUGGGCACUGUCUCAACAACAGACUCGGUGAAAUUGUAAUUCCGGUGAAGAUGCCGGAUACCUGCGACAGGACGGAAAGACCCCAUGGAGCUUUACUGUAGCUUGACAUUGGGUCUUGGUACUACAUGUACAGGAUAGGUGGGAGGCUUUGAAACCAGGACGCCAGUUUUGGCGGAGCCAUCCUUGGGAUACCACCCUUGUAGUACUGGGACUCUAACCAUAGGCCAUGAAUCUGGUCUUGGGACACUGUCAGGUGGGCAGUUUGACUGGGGCGGUCGCCUCCCAAAAGGUAACGGAGGCGCUCAAAGGUUCUCUCAGUACGGUCGGAAAUCGUACGUAGAGUGUAAAGGCAAAAGAGAGCUUGAUUGCAAGACAUACAGGUCGAGCAAGGAUGAAAAUCGGACUUAGUGAUCCGGUGGUUCUGCGUGGAAGGGCCAUCGCUCAACGGAUAAAAGCUACCCUGGGGAUAACAGGCUUAUCUCCCCCAAGAGUCCACAUCGACGGGGAGGUUUGGCACCUCGAUGUCGGCUCAUCACAUCCUGGGGCUGUAGUAGGUCCCAAGGGUUGGGCUGUUCGCCCAUUAAAGUGGUACGCGAGCUGGGUUCAGAACGUCGUGAGACAGUUCGGUCCCUAUCCGUCGCAGGCGUAGGAAAUUUGAGAAGACCUGUCCUUAGUACGAGAGGACCGGGAUGGACGUACCUCUGGUGUACCAGUUGUCCUGCCAAGGGCAUGGCUGGGUAGCUAUGUACGGAAUGGAUAAGCGCUGAAAGCAUCUAAGCGCGAAGCCAACUUCAAGAUAAGAUUUCCCACCGCAAGGGUAAGACCCCAGAAAGAC
RNAcentral lists this ribosomal RNA (2467 nucleotides) under Escherichia coli. RNAcentral's name for it is "partial 23S ribosomal RNA". It matches the Rfam family "Bacterial large subunit ribosomal RNA", at positions 354 to 2845 of the family's 2925-position model. Lineage: Bacteria; Pseudomonadati; Pseudomonadota; Gammaproteobacteria; Enterobacterales; Enterobacteriaceae. The record is from RNAcentral.